GAUGAACGCUGGCGGCGUGCUUAACACAUGCAAGUCGAACGGAAAGGCUCCUGCUUGCAGGGGUACUCGAGUGGCGAACGGGUGAGUAACACGUGGGUGAUCUGCCCUGCACUUCGGGAUAAGCCUGGGAAACUGGGUCUAAUACCGGAUAGGACCACAUUUUGGAUGGUGUGGUGGAAAGUUUUUCGGUGUGGGAUGAGCUCGCGGCCUAUCAGCUUGUUGGUGGGGUAAUGGCCUACCAAGGCGUCGACGGGUAGCCGGCCUGAGAGGGUGUACGGCCACAUUGGGACUGAGAUACGGCCCAGACUCCUACGGGAGGCAGCAGUGGGGAAUAUUGCACAAUGGGCGCAAGCCAGAUGCAGCGACGCCGCGUGGGGGAUGACGGCCUUCGGGUUGUAAACUCCUUUCGCUAGGGACGAAGCGCAAGUGACGGUACCUGGAGAAGAAGCACCGGCUAACUACGUG
This 465-nucleotide ribosomal RNA is filed under the name uncultured bacterium. Its description in RNAcentral is "partial 16S ribosomal RNA". It matches the Rfam family "Bacterial small subunit ribosomal RNA", at positions 28 to 507 of the family's 1533-position model. The record is from RNAcentral.